UACGUAGGGAGCGAGCGUUAUCCGGAUUUAUUGGGUGUAAAGGGCGCGUAGACGGUAUAGCAAGUUGGUUGUGAAAUCCCGAGGCCUGACUUCGGAACUGCAACCAAAACUGUUUAACUUGAGUGUGGGAGAGGAAAGCGGAAUUUCUAGUGGAGCGGUGAAAUGCGUAGAUAUUAGGAGGAACACCAGUGGCGAAGGCGGCUUUCUGGACCAUAACUGACGUUGAGGCGCGAAAGUGUGGGGAGCAAAC
Molecule: ribosomal RNA, 250 nt
Filed under: uncultured prokaryote
Description: partial 16S ribosomal RNA
Rfam family: Bacterial small subunit ribosomal RNA
Source: RNAcentral